GGGACUGCCUGAAGUGUCUAAGGCCUUUAAGGCUUGGCUUUGGUAAGUCCCUCAGUGCUGCCUUCUCCCAGGGGAAAGUGGACUUCUGGGGCCAAACCAAGACCAAACCCUUUCACACUUUAUUUCUGGCUUGGUGACUCUUGGCAGAGAAAACAGGGCUUUAGUUCACCUCACUGAAAAUUGUGGAGGGUGAGGAAUGAGGUUGGGUGCAGACCUGCCCUCUAGCCCCAAGAACAGCCUUGGGGAGAAGCCUGGGCUGGGGCCCUGCACUCAGGAGAGUGAAGGUGAGACUCUAGCUAGGCAUGCUGUUCCUGUGGGGCAGAGCUCUUUCCCAUAUCUGCUGGUGCUGCCCCAGAUUAUGCUGCAGUACCAUGUUCCCUUCUCCCCCUCCCCAUUCUUCCAUGCUGAAUAAAUCCCUCUUGAGGCAGGUGUGAAAUAUUCAUGACUGACAAAUGAAGAAUUAUGUCGGGCUGAGGAGGCCUCUGUGUGUUUGCAAUGCUAAUCAGCCUUCUUGGCUGGAGGAGGCUCCGCCUGGCAGGCUUGAAGGAAUGAGAGGAAGAUGCAGGAGGAAGGUGGAAAAGGAGCUGAGAAAGAGACGAGGGGCAGACACAGUAGGGGUGAAUUGGUAUGGUAGGACCAAGGAGUAGUGAGGCAAGGAGGUAGCAGGCUGGAAAGACCUGGGGAAGAGAUGGCUACAGUGGAAAGAAUAGGAUGAUAAAGGGACGAAGGGAAGAACAAGGAUUGAGUGCAGGGGUGAAGGUUCUCUGAGAGAAAGUAAGGGAAUAAGUCAGCAGUGCCUGGAGACAAAAAUCUGGGAAGACUUCAUGAUGAGCUGUGACCCCUCUCUGUAGGGCAGAGCUAAGUGCUACAGGGUGGGCACCUGCCAUCUGGGUAGGAGCUGGACCCAGGGCCCCAAAAGCACAUUUACCAUGCUUGUUGCUGACUGGAAAGCUCAGCUGCGUCAGGAAGGACACAGAGUCUCCUGGAGCCUGGAAAACAUCCCUUCCACCGUUAUCACCUCCUUCCACACAAGAUGCAGUCAAGAAGAGCCUCAUGGAGCCGUGUCCUCUUGUUGGAGUCAGCCUGCUGCUGUCCCAUUAUCUGAGCAGGAGGGAGCCUCCUCAGGAUGGCUUGGUGUGGGACAGACAUUUUGUGCCACCCCCCACCAGGCUAUGGGGUUUCCUGUAGGGCUGGUGGAUCCUGCCCCACCUCAGCCAUGCCCUGCCCAUCCUGUCUGAGCAGGUGUCUUUGGGUCCUUCCCUGGAGAAGGGCAGAGGGGAGCAUCUAUUGCGUCCCCCCUACACACGCACGCAUUCCCAACCCUGUCCCUCAGCCGCUUUGGCCUUGUACUGUGAGGGGCGUUCUCGGUCUGCCUCCCCUUGACUGUCCCCCCACGUGCCCUGGGGAGGUGUCUCCGUACCUGUCCCUGGCCAUCCUGCUAGGGCAGCUCUCUGCAGGGCUGCCCCAACCCACCCUGUCCCUGGAGAGAGGGCAUCUUCUGCCUGGCUUCUCCUUCUCCCCCUUCUCCCGCUCCUUAUCCUCCCUGCCCCUCCAGGGGUCAAAUUCCCUCCUCCCCCCUUUACAGCCCCCCUCCGUAUGCCCCAUCCUCGUGCAUUUGGCUUGGCCUUUGCCUCCCCCAUAGCUACCACCACCACUGUGAGGCCUUGCUCUUGGGCGGCCUGUCCCCACCGCCUGCUCUCCACCUUCCCUGGGGGGAAGAGGAAGAGUCUGUCCGGGUCAGGCCAGACCCUCCAGGGCUGGUACGGCUGGUCCAUCCACAAGCACAGCGUCUGGGGUGAGGGGGUGGGAAGGGGCGGGCAGCUGCCAGGCACAGAGAAGGGGGUGUCAGCCCUUGAAUGUAAGGAAGGGCCUGGGAGGCAGCUGCUGGGACUGGCUCCUUGUGGCCUCUUUGGUGUUCCUCCUUCCGUAACAACCCUGUGACCCCCCCGGUUGUGUAUGGACAAAUUUAUGUUGGAGUUACGUUCUUUACUUUCUUCUUCUUUUUUUGAAUUUAUUUUCUUUUCUUCUUUUAGAAUUGUAUUUCUUUCUUGUUCUUUUCUUUCUUUCUUUUUUUUUUCUCUCUUUCCUUCUUUUCCUGUUUUAAAACUGAAUGGCACGAAAUCGUUUUUCCUCAACUCGGAGAUUCCUGUAUGGAGAAAAUCAAUUUCUAUAUUUGCAAUAAAUUUCUUAUUUAAAAAAAAACAAAACCAACAAAAAACCUAAAAAAAAAA
Long non-coding RNA from Taeniopygia guttata (zebra finch), 2231 nucleotides. The record is from Ensembl. NCBI's taxonomy places the organism in Eukaryota, Metazoa, Chordata, Aves, Passeriformes, Estrildidae.